UGAGCGUCGUUGUAUGGAAGACUAGUGAUUUUGUUGUUCUACUUAAGAUGUAACAAGGAAUCACUAAUCAUCCUACAAAGACGCUCG
This 87-nucleotide microRNA precursor is filed under the name Nasonia vitripennis (jewel wasp). RNAcentral's name for it is "microRNA nvi-mir-7 precursor". Its record names the gene nvi-mir-7. It matches the Rfam family "mir-7 microRNA precursor family". Rfam says of the family: This family represents the microRNA (miRNA) precursor mir-7. In this case the mature sequence comes from the 5' arm of the precursor. The extents of the hairpin precursors are not generally known and are estimated based on hairpin prediction. RNAcentral also lists the same sequence under 1 other name. Lineage: Eukaryota; Metazoa; Arthropoda; Insecta; Hymenoptera; Pteromalidae. The record is from miRBase by way of RNAcentral.